RNAcentral lists this ribosomal RNA (613 nucleotides) under uncultured bacterium. RNAcentral describes it as "bacterial SSU rRNA". The stretch from base 1 to 534 matches the Rfam family "Bacterial small subunit ribosomal RNA", at positions 338 to 873 of the family's 1533-position model. The record is from RNAcentral.
CCUACGGGAGGCAGCAGUAGGGAAUAUUGGGCAAUGGAGGCAACUCUGACCCAGCCAUGCCGCGUGCAGGAUGAAGGCGUUAUGCGUUGUAAACUGCUUUUAUAUAGGAAGAAAUAGACCUUGCGAGGUAAGUUGACGGUACUAUAUGAAUAAGCACCGGCUAACUCCGUGCCAGCAGCCGCGGUAAUACGGAGGGUGCAAGCGUUGUCCGGAUUUAUUGGGUUUAAAGGGUGCGUAGGCGGUUUAUUAAGUCAGUGGUGAAAGACGGUCGCUCAACGAUUGCAGUGCCAUUGAUACUGGUAGACUUGAGUAUGAUUGAGGUAGCUGGAAUGGAUAGUGUAGCGGUGAAAUGCAUAGAUAUUAUCCAGAACACCAAUUGCGUAGGCAAGUUACUAAGUCAUAACUGACGCUGAUGCACGAAAGUGUGGGUAUCAAACAGGAUUAGAUACCCUGGUAGUCCACACUGUAAACGAUGAUAACUAACUGUUGGCUUUCGGGUCAGUGGUACAGAGAAAUCCGNUAAGUUAUCCAACCGUGGGGAGUUACGCCGGCGAACGGUUGAACGUUCAANAGAGUUAGAGCGNGAGAGNGCGACGCGACGACGAGGAGGAGG